This is a long non-coding RNA of Peromyscus californicus insignis, 1203 nucleotides long. RefSeq lists it as uncharacterized. The record is from RefSeq and is a predicted model, not a curated record. NCBI's taxonomy places the organism in Eukaryota, Metazoa, Chordata, Mammalia, Rodentia, Cricetidae. The transcript is spliced from 5 exons.
GAGGAGCUGGUACCAGUGGUUUUGUGUGCCGUUCUGCUAUUGCUGCUGCAAGGAGCUUGGAUGAGCUGGGAAACCACAACAUGCUCCUCGCUCAGACAUGGUGAAAGUAUAUCAGUAAUGUGGGUGUUGCCGUUACAAAUGGAGGUCCUACUGAGAUUCUACCAAGACACUACCAAGAGCCAAGAAAGAAGGAAUGAGCUGACGGACACUCUUAGAAGGCUGGCCAGCAUUUUAAAGCAAAAAGAAAAGGCAUUUCUCUUGUAAGGUGAUAUUCCACUCAAACGGUACAGAAAUGACAGAGAUGACCCUCCUAUCAAGUUUUCUUCAAAAUGACUUAGUGGUUACAUUAUAAUGUACACAUGUAUGGGAUGUUUUAGAAUGCAGUGACCUAUGAUGAUGUGCAUGUUGACUUCGCUUGGGAAGAGUGGACUUUGCUGGAUCCUUCCCAGAAGAAUCUCUACAAAGAUGUGAUGUUGGAGACUUACAGGAACCUCACUACUAUAGGAUACAGUUUGGAAGACUAUAAUAUCAAAGAACAUCAUCACAGUUCUAGGAGAUAUGAAAGAUCAAAACUUCCUCAUGGAGUGGAGCAGAGAAGCAAUGGGCACCUCUGAUGAGAAACUACCUUUUGGGAGCAGUGCAGAAGUAACAACUUUUUGCAUGGAACUGGAAUAGACUGCUACAUUUCUACAGUGGUUUCCCUCUCAGUUGAGUGAAGCAGAGAAGUAACAAUUUGGGAUGGAUCUGAGAAGAAAUAGACAUCUGUGCUGGGAAACUCCAUAGUACAGCAGAGCAGAGCAGAAAAACAAUGAACACCUCUGCUGGGAAACUCCCAUAGGGGAGUGGAGCAGAGCCCGGCUGUAAUGGCUUUCUCUCAAAGAGGAGCAAGAUUCCUUCAUCCUGCUGUGAGAUCAUCCUCAGCUGGAACACAACUUCGGGUAUAGCCUGACUUCCUGACAGUUGUGAUUCCUUUCUCCUCACUGCUGUAAGUAUUCAGGGUACCUUCCCUUCACAACUGUAGCUAUAGUCUGAAUUCUGACAGUCAGGGUACCUUUCUCUCCUGAGCUAUAGGUAUCUACAGAGCUGUAGAUAGUUCAGGGACAGGGUAACUCAAGGUCAGGGUCAUGGUUAGAGGGUCAGGGUUAGGGUCUGGGUGUAGGCUUAGGUCAGCAUUAGAGUCAAGGGUUAGGGGGUUAGAGGGUG